This 23-nucleotide non-coding RNA is filed under the name Arabidopsis thaliana (thale cress). The record is from RNAcentral. Lineage: Eukaryota; Viridiplantae; Streptophyta; Magnoliopsida; Brassicales; Brassicaceae.
UAAAAUCUAUCGUGGACCUUUUC